AUUCAACGUAUUAGUUUGGAACUCGAAUAAAUACAAUAUAAAGAGUUGCAACAUCUGAUCUUACAUAAAUUGAAGUUUGAGUUGAACAUGUACCACUGCCAUCAUCCACAAAUGGAAUUGAACCUGAACCAUUGCCAUCACACACAAUUGGUCUUGGAGUUGAACAUGUACCACUACCUUCAUCCAUGACUGGAAUCGGAAUUGGCCAAUUAAUCACUUCACUGGUCCGGAGCAAAGAGAAAGAGCAGCAGCACGAACCAGUGGCGACGAGCGCAUGGCAGCCUGGCCCC
Molecule: long non-coding RNA, 290 nt
Filed under: Panicum hallii
Lineage: Eukaryota; Viridiplantae; Streptophyta; Magnoliopsida; Poales; Poaceae
Description: long non-coding RNA (PHAL_LNC000061)
Source: RNAcentral